This 2602-nucleotide long non-coding RNA is filed under the name Portunus trituberculatus (swimming crab). RNAcentral's name for it is "uncharacterized LOC123500070". Lineage: Eukaryota; Metazoa; Arthropoda; Malacostraca; Decapoda; Portunidae. The record is from RNAcentral.
GCUGGUCUAAAGGGGAUGUUUUUAGCUUGCUGGUCUAAAGGGUGUGUUUUUAACUUGCUGGUCUAAAGGGUGUGUAUUAUAAUACAUAUAUAUACAUUAUCACCACAGGUGUUGGUGUAUAGGGCUUAUGCUAUUAUUUAGCUGACUGUGUUAUUUAUCAUAAUGAACUCUUUCAGGUAUGUGAGCUGCACUUUUGGCCAGAAGACAUGGAAUGUGAGACCUCCUUCUUCGACGAGAGGACUUUGACCAAAGUCCAAGCCAAGUUGAAGCAUCCAAGACUGCGACAGGGAGUUGUUCCCUCACAACUUCCCAACUGCCCCGCUUAUCUCUCACUGUCACUAGUAUCUGUGAGGGAAUCACCUGACGAAAGGAGAUCCAGGAUGGAAGAGAUUGCAAUUGAAGAAGCCCUUAAACAGUGUUGUUGACCAUGAAGAACUUAAGGAGCGAAGAAAAUGUUGAGAUUUAGAUGAACUGGUCAAAAAAUUAAAACAUUUAGAUAAGUACUGGAAGAUUAUUGAGAGAGAAGAUUCAGUAGUGGUUUGCCAUGUGACUGCCAACCCUGAGCCCAAAAUUAAAUGUUCAGUAACAAUCAGCGAUUCAAGUAGGGUAAAAGUAUUUUUGAGAGUGUUGAAUUGGAAAGCCUAGGAAAUUACAAAAUCCCUUCAGAAAUUUAUAGCAUUGACUCACUGGAAGAAAUUUUAUGUAACCUUCGGGAAUGUGACUUUGAACAACAUAUGAGUAGCAGUACUUGUCCUACAGACUCUAAAUUCAUAUUUCUCCUACAAUUAGUCAUUUCCAUCUUGACACAACUGCAAGAAACAAGCACUAAGUACAGAGACAAUUUGAAAUUUAUAUGUGAACAGCUCCACCUUAUGACAAAAAAGAGACUAAGUUAUUCCCCUGAGUUCAUAGUUUUCUCAUCUCUUAUGUAUAACUGCUCCCCCCAAGGUUACAGAUUACUCAGAAAUGUUGGCUACUUGAUCCUCCCAUGUUAUUCAACCAUGCGACUACUGUCUCUUUCUCUUAGCAUGAGUCCAGUACCAGAACAACAAAAUUGUCACUUCCUCUCUUACAUAAAAAAGAAGUUUAAAUUUUUUACCCAAAAUGAUAUGACUGUUUCCCUGAUGAUUGAUGAAAUACACAUUAAGCAAUAUUUUGAUUACAAGGGAGGAAAUGAUGUUGGUUCUGCUUUUAAUUGUGAUGAAGCUGCCAAGAGUGCUUUCGUUUUCAUGAUAAGUAGUGUGUGCUCAAACUUUAAAGAUAUUGUUCAUAUUUUGCCAGUUAGAACUUUAAAAGCAGAAAUUCUUUUCACAUUCAUAAAAGACAUUGUAAUUGGCUUGGAAAAAAUUGGAUUCAGAGUGAUAUCUGUGGUGACAAACAAUAACGGCAUUAAUAAGAAGGCCAUGUCAUUCUUUGCUAAUACUCACAACUUUCCAUAGUAUAUCCUCACCCUUCAUUGAAAUCUAGACCUCUCUUUUUUUUUGUUUGAUGCUGUACACUUACUGAAAUGUAUUCGGAAUAACUGGCUUGGCCAAAGAGAUAGUGAAAAAACUAUGAAAUUUCCAUAUUUUCCGAUUGAUGGCUUUAGUCAUACAAAAGAAACUUGUACUGCACCCUUCGACACACUAAAGAAACUUCAUUCUUUGGAAGCCAAUUCACUCCUAAAACAUGCAUAGAAACUUAAUCUUAAGUCGUUGUGUCCCUCCAAUUUAGAAAAACAAAAUGUCACAUUGGCUCUACGAAUAUUCAGCGAUUAUGUCACUGAAGCCCUGAGGUCUGUCAGAAAAAAGUACAGCUUGCCUUCUUUUGAAGAUGUUGCAAAUUACAUCUCAAUAAUCAUCACUUGGUGGACAAUAAUGAAUGUAAAUUCUCCUUGUAAAGGUAAGCGCCUCAACAACAAGUAUGCGCGUCCACUAACAAAUAAUUCAAGUGAUGAAAGUUUUGUGUUUCUUAACAAAUUUUCGAUUUGGUUAAACCACUGGGAUUCCAUGACAGAAAUUGGGGGAAAAUUAACCAGAGAAACUUUUACAGCUUUAAAACACACUACUAAUGCGAUUAUGGAAUUAACCAGUUACUGCAUUAAUGAGUUAAAUAUGAAUUUUAUAUUAACAUCAAAAUUUCAGACAGAUCAGUUAGAAUUUAGGUUUAGCCAAUACUGCCAACUUGCUGGGUGCAACUAUAACAUAUCUGUCAGGCAAAUAUUCGAGUGUGAAAAAAAAAUCCGGAUGAUGUCUGUUUUAAGUUUACCCUUCAAAAAACAAGAACAUAACACUGUCAGAAUUUAAAGAAUUUGUAUGGGACAAUACUGAUGUAAAUUCCAUUUCCGAUGAAGAAAUGUUCCAUAUUGAUGUAACCGAAGAUGAUGUUGAAACAAGUACGGAUGUUCUUUCAGUUUUAACAUAUUUGGCAGGUUACUGUUGUUUUUCUGUUUUUAAAAAAAAUUAAGUGUGCUUCUUGUAAAACUAUUUUAACUAUCAAUAGCUCUACCUACCAAACUAUCAUUAUAUUCAAGGUAUUAGCAGAGGUGCAUUGCUUUAUCCUGAUGAAUAUGUUGUAAAUAUCAUCAUGUACAACUACAUAGUAAUCAAGAAGCUUACAGAAA